AAAAAUUUAGUUUAAUAAAAACAUCAGUUUGUCAAAUUGAAUAUACUUAAGAAGUAAUUUUUU
This 63-nucleotide transfer RNA is filed under the name Evacanthus acuminatus. Its description in RNAcentral is "tRNA-Asp". Lineage: Eukaryota; Metazoa; Arthropoda; Insecta; Hemiptera; Cicadellidae. RNAcentral also lists the same sequence under 2 other names. The record is from RNAcentral.